RNAcentral lists this ribosomal RNA (468 nucleotides) under uncultured bacterium. RNAcentral describes it as "partial 16S ribosomal RNA". It matches the Rfam family "Bacterial small subunit ribosomal RNA", at positions 28 to 507 of the family's 1533-position model. The record is from RNAcentral.
GACGAACGCUGGCGGCGUGCUUAACACAUGCAAGUCGAACGGAAAGGCCCGGCUUUUGUGGGGUGCUCGAGUGGCGAACGGGUGAGUAACACGUGGGUAACCUGCCUUUGAGUUUGGGAUAACUUCAGGAAACUGGGGCUAAUACCGGAUAGGAGUUCCUGUUGCAUGGUGGGGGUUGAAAAGUUUCGGUGGUUGGGGUUGGACGCGCGGCUUAGUAGCUUUUUGGUGGGGUAGUGGUUUACCAAGGCUUUGACGGGUAGCCGGCCUGGGAGGGUGACCGGCCACAGUGGGACUGAGAUACGGCCCAGACUCCUACGGGAGGCAGCAGUGGGGAAUAGUGCACAAUGGGCGGAAGCCUGAUGCAGCAACGCCGCGUGCGGGAUGACGGCCUUCGGGUUGUAAACCGCUUUCGCCUGUGACGAAGCGUGAGUGACGGUAAUGGGUAAAGAAGCACCGGCUAACUACGUG